GAUGAACGCUGGCGGCGUGCCUAAUACAUGCAAGUAGAACGCUGAAGCUUGGUGCUUGCACCGAGCGGAUGAGUUGCGAACGGGUGAGUAACGCGUAGGUAACCUGCCUGGUAGCGGGGGAUAACUAUUGGAAACGAUAGCUAAUACCGCAUGACAACAGUUAUUGCAUGAUAACUGUUUAAAAGGGGCAAUUGCUCCACUACCAGAUGGACCUGCGUUGUAUUAGCUAGUUGGUGAGGUAACGGCUCACCAAGGCGACGAUACAUAGCCGACCUGAGAGGGUGAUCGGCCACACUGGGACUGAGACACGGCCCAGACUCCUACGGGAGGCAGCAGUAGGGAAUCUUCGGCAAUGGACGGAAGUCUGACCGAGCAACGCCGCGUGAGUGAAGAAGGUUUUCGGACCGUAAAGCUCUGUUGUAAGAGAAGAACGAGUGUGAGAGUGGAAAGUUCACACUGUGACGGUAUCUUACCAGAAAGGGACGGCUAACUACGUGCCAGCAGCCGCGGUAAUACGUAGGUCCCGAGCGUUAUCCGGAUUUAUUGGGCGUAAAGCGAGCGCAGGCGGUUAGAUAAGUCUGAAGUUAAAGGCUGUGGCUUAACCAUAGUACGCUUUGGAAACUGUUUAACUUGAGUGCAAGAGAGGGAGAGUGGAAUUCCAUGUGUAGCGGUGAAAUGCGUAGAUAUAUGGAGGGAACACCGGUGGCGAAAGCGGCUCUCUGGCUUGUAACUGACGCUGAGGCUCGAAAGCGUGGGGAGCAACAUG
This 766-nucleotide ribosomal RNA is filed under the name uncultured Streptococcus sp. RNAcentral's name for it is "bacterial SSU rRNA". It matches the Rfam family "Bacterial small subunit ribosomal RNA", at positions 28 to 775 of the family's 1533-position model. The record is from RNAcentral. Lineage: Bacteria; Bacillati; Bacillota; Bacilli; Lactobacillales; Streptococcaceae.